GAUGAACGCUGGCGGCGUGCUUAACACAUGCAAGUCGAACGAAGCACUUUAUUUGAUUUCCUUCGGGACUGAUUAUUUUGUGACUGAGUGGCGGACGGGUGAGUAACGCGUGGGUAACCUGCCUUGUCCAGGGGGAUAACAGUUGGAAACGGCUGCUAAUACCGCAUAAGCGCACGGCAUCGCAUGAUGCAGUGUGAAAAACUCCGGCGGUAUAAGAUGGACCCGCGUUGGAUUAGCUAGUUGGUGAGGUAACGGCCCACCAAGGCGACGAUCCAUAGCCGAGCUGAGAGGGUGACCGGCCACAUUGAGACUGAGACACGGCCGAAAAUCCUACGGGAGGCAGCAGUGGGGAAUAUUGCAAAAUGGGCGAAAGGAUGAUGCAGCGACGCCGGGUGAGCGAAGAAGUAUUGCGGGAAGUAAAGCUCUAUCAGCAGGGAAGAUAAUGACGGUACCUGAAGAAGAAGCACCGGCUAAAUACGUG
RNAcentral lists this ribosomal RNA (481 nucleotides) under uncultured bacterium. Its description in RNAcentral is "partial 16S ribosomal RNA". It matches the Rfam family "Bacterial small subunit ribosomal RNA", at positions 28 to 507 of the family's 1533-position model. The record is from RNAcentral.